This 3335-nucleotide long non-coding RNA is filed under the name Cicer arietinum (chickpea). Its description in RNAcentral is "long non-coding RNA (CARI_LNC002436)". Lineage: Eukaryota; Viridiplantae; Streptophyta; Magnoliopsida; Fabales; Fabaceae. The record is from RNAcentral.
GCAAAAUGUAAAGGUUUACGACAUUACUACAACCGUGACCGUAGUCACAAUUUAAAAUCAAGACGGAAAUUUUUGAUAAAUCAAGUGAGAGUAAGAGUCCAACAUAGAUAAAAAAAGUGAUUGUUGAACACCAUAUAAAUAAGAGAACCCAAUGUUUUAAAAGUUAUGAGUAAAAAUAUAGUGUGAAAUCCACUUACAAGUUUGUUCUUAUCCAAUGUGAUUGAUAUUUCUUCAUGAAUUGUCUCCACCUGUUAUCUUUCACGGCCUCGUGAAAGUAUAGUUGACUAUCAACAAAUAGAAGUGCACUAAAUUAUUUAGAACAUUUUCAUCACAUUGUUUGUAUUUGAGUUAAACUUCUCAAGUAAUAAUACCUAAACUUCAGUUGGACUUUAUUUGGGCUUCACAACAUGUCAAUUGUCACUUAUGAUUUUGAAGAAGAGAUGCUCUACUAAUUCUUGAGUGCCUAAUUUAAUAACUGUUUCCUCAUAUUUUAACUAAGAAAGGGUGUCUAUUUAUAUACUUUGAUAUUUGGACCUUGAAUUAAUGAGUAACAUUGGGUUUAAUAAUACAGCAUAACAGGAUCAAUUGAACGUUACCGCAGUCAUACCAGGACUAAUAAUACUUCAACACCUGCAUCAGUGGAUCAAAAUACUCAGGUAGUUAAAUACUUCUUUCUAUAUCAAAAGUACAAAGUGAAACUCAUGCUCUCAUAAUUGAAAUUAAUAAAAAGUAAUGUGAAAAUUAUAACUAAUUGAAAAAUAACAAGAUCCAGCUGAGUUAUUUUUAAGACAUUAGGGCAUGAGUUUCACUUUGUUAUUUAAUAUUAAGACAUUCCCUUAGUAGUUGUUUUUAUUAGUUAAGUCUUAUUGUAACUCUAGAUUUAAUAUUCAAUAUUUUAAUUUUCUUUUAACGAUUUUUAAAUUAUGCUUUUUUCUCAACAAUGGCUUGUAUCAAAAUUAGUGAUGUGGUAUUAAAGUCAAUCGAUUCGGCUACCCACGAUUUAUAUCAAAACACCAAGUGUAAUAGUACUUAGUGUGAGAGAUGCAUGUAUUGGAAAAAACUAAAAUCUGACAUUGAAUAAAGAUAAGACUUAAAAAAAUAUUAUAAACAGUGUCAUCCAUCACUUUACAAACCGAUUCUGUAAGGGAUGAGUUAGAUCCAAACCAAAUUCUAAGACUACCAUUUACAAAUUCACUUAUAUUAAAAUGAACUAGGGUGUACGACAUGUGUACUUCAAAAUUGGAUCUCAUACAAUAAUUGUGAAAAACGUUAGAUCUAAUAAGUCUUAUUGGCAGUGUAGUCAAGACGCGUGUUAUGUUGGUGGUUCGGUAGUGCAAGUAUAGGAUGUCUGAGACUCACACUUGAUUAGAUAUUGUUGGGCUAAAGUGUGAGUGGUUAUACAUAUAUUGACUAUGAAUGAGCUAAAUAUUAGAUAUACAGGAGAGAUGAUCUGUAUAUCUAAUGCUCUAAGAUUUUAGGUGAAGAUGAAAUGUCAAAGUUUCUUAUGAUCCUGAAUAUAGCUCAUUAUCCGUAACCUACUUCCCAACAAUUUUCUCUCUCUAGAUUUAACAGUCCCUAAAAUGCUAUGCAGAUGCCGUAAGGGAUCUCACGGAUAUAUUUUACACUAAUUGUUAAUACUAAUGGGCAAUGUUUACUAUAUUUUCUAAUAAUCUAGAGUAUAGACACUCAGUUCAACUUAAGAGACUUGAAGUUUGUAUGUAAUUGCCUAAUAUAUUACAGGCUCAAUUGAAGGAAGAAUCCCAACACAUGAUGAAGAAGAUUGACCUUCUUGAGGCUUCAAAACGGUUAAAGAUCUUAAAAUAUCUAUUCAUGUUAAUAAAUUUUUUUACAUUCAAGAUAUAAUUUCCCUUUCUUAUAAUGAAAAUAAUAUGUUGCAUUUGUAAUUUGAUUCCCUUAGGAAACUCUUAGGACAAGGUUUAGGGUCUUGUUCCCUUGAUGAACUACAAAAGAUAGAGCAACAAUUGGAGAGAAGUAUAAGCAGUAUUCGAACAAAAAAGGUUAGCAUGGCAACACAACUAGCUUAUAUAAUUUUCAUUUUCAAAUAUUAUACAAAUUUUUAAAUCUGAACUUUCUAUUUUUCAGAAUCAGAUUUUCAGGGAACAAAUUGAGCAGCUAAAAGAAAAAGUAAGCUAUUUAUAUAUUUAACAAGGUGGUUUAGUUUACAUGAAUGUCAUAUUGCAUAUGCUUUUUAUAUAUAUACAUACAUGGAAAAUAUUAGUAAUUAGUAAUUAGUAUAGAUAAUGUUACUCUCUUUCCUAUAUUUUAAAUUAUAAAAUCAAAUUGUCCACCACUUCAUUACAAUUUAUGUAACAUAAAUAUUUUAGAUUGAACUUGUUUAUUCAGUAAUCAGUAUCCAGCACUUGUUGGUGUUCGACAUUGAUACGACAUAUAUGUGAUUAGAUUCAGUUACUUUUAUUUUCUAAAAUUAUUUUCAGUGUGUCAAUAUUGCAUAUUAGAUUACAAUUCUGUAAAUUUGUUAUAACAUUUGUAGCAAAAAAAAAUUGUCAAAAUUAGACUAUUAUACAGUUGUGACCUAAUGUGAACUUGAAAUGUUGUCUAACUAAAGCAAUUAUCAAUUCAUCCUAUAUCUAAGAGUUUGUGGUAAUUAAUUUACUUUUUGAUAUAUAUCAUUAUUGAUGCAUACAGUAUACAUGCUAAGGAAAGAAAAAAGCUUCAUAAGUUACAGGAAAAAUAUUCUAACUAAACUGUUCUGAAUUCAAUUCAGGAAAAAACCCUAAUUGCUGAGAAUAUCAGGCUCUCUGAAAAGGUGAAUUUAUUUUCAAUCUUGAAUUAAUUUUUCCCCCUUUAUUAUCUCAUUUGUAUCAGAUUCAUAGAUAUCAUGAAACUACUAGAAAUAGUUCAUAAAAAAGAUUAAAUUCGUCUUUAAUUUUGUCGUUAUGUGUUAGAGACGGUUAAUGUAAAGAGAAAAUUAAUUUUUUUUAUCUCUAUCUCUAUCACUAUGUCAACUUCUUUGAAAAAGCCUCAUAUUCAUUGAAAAUCAAAAUGUGGUUGCAGUAUGAUAAGUUUUCCCAACCAGCAAAAAAGGAUGAAAGAGAAAAUUUACACGAACCCUUUGCAGAAAGUAGUCCAAGAUCAGAUGUGGAGACUGAAUUGUUCAUUGGUCUUCCAGAAACAAGAACAUGGCGCAUUUCUCCAAAGAUUUAGUUGAGAUUGAAGAAUUGAAACGAUGAGUUCAACUAAUUAUGGAAAUGAAAAUGAAAAUAAGGGUAAGGGAUACAAUUUUUCAUUAUGACAGGUUGUAUUGAUAUACCUUUAUAACAGACUCAGAACUAUUCACUUCCAUUGUGUUGUAA